This 265-nucleotide unclassified non-coding RNA is filed under the name uncultured fungus. RNAcentral's name for it is "partial contains 5.8S ribosomal RNA, internal transcribed spacer 2, and large subunit ribosomal RNA". The stretch from base 1 to 52 matches the Rfam family "5.8S ribosomal RNA", at positions 103 to 154 of the family's 154-position model. Lineage: Eukaryota; Fungi. The record is from RNAcentral.
AACGCACAUUGCGCCCGCCAGUACUCUGGCGGGCAUGCCUGUCUGAGCGUCAUUUCAACCCUCGGGACCCCGUUCGCGGGACCCGGCGUUGGGGAUCAGCUCCUGUAAAAGGGAGCUGGCCCUGAAAUCUAGUGGCGGUCCGCCAGCGAUCUCCUCUGUGCAGUAGUUAAUACCUCGCAGCUGGAUAGCGGUCGGGCCACGCCGUAAAACCCCCCAAAUUUCUAAGGUUGACCUCAGAUCAGGUAGGAAUACCCGCUGAACUUAA